RNAcentral lists this ribosomal RNA (437 nucleotides) under uncultured Oscillospiraceae bacterium. RNAcentral's name for it is "partial 16S ribosomal RNA". It matches the Rfam family "Bacterial small subunit ribosomal RNA", at positions 341 to 792 of the family's 1533-position model. The record is from RNAcentral. Lineage: Bacteria; Bacillati; Bacillota; Clostridia; Eubacteriales; Oscillospiraceae.
ACGGGAGGCAGCAGUGGGGAAUAUUGGGCAAUGGGCGAAAGCCUGACCCAGCAACGCCGCGUGAAGGAAGAAGGCCUUCGGGUUGUAAACUUCUUUUGUCAGGGACGAAGGACGUGACGGUACCUGACGAAUAAGCAACGGCUAACUACGUGCCAGCAGCCGCGGUAAUACGUAGGUUGCAAGCGUUGUCCGGAUUUACUGGGUGUAAAGGGCGUGUAGGCGGAUCUGCAAGUCAGAUGUGAAAUCCCGGGGCUCAACCCCGGAACUGCAUUUGAAACUGUAGACCUUGAGUAUCGGAGAGGCAAGCGGAAUUCCUAGUGUAGCGGUGAAAUGCGUAGAUAUUAGGAGGAAUACCAGUGGCGAAGGCGUCUUUCUGGACUGUUACUGACACUGAGGCACGAAAGCGUGGGGAGCAAACAGGAUUAGAUACCCUGGUA